This 348-nucleotide ribosomal RNA is filed under the name Triticum aestivum (bread wheat). Its description in RNAcentral is "partial small subunit ribosomal RNA". The record is from RNAcentral. Lineage: Eukaryota; Viridiplantae; Streptophyta; Magnoliopsida; Poales; Poaceae.
AUGGGGAGCAGCAAUAGUUUUGGGGAUAGAAGAAGAGAAGCAGUAGGAGAUUGGAGAAGGAGCAGCAGAGAUCGGGCGCAAGCAGAGCAGCAUCAGGGACGUGGGAAGAGCAGCAACAGCGUGGGGAUGGUCGCGCGGGGCACCAGGCACCUCGUCUGGUCGAGCGCGCGAGCAUGGGGUGGAGGCGCGGUGGUGAUGCGAUGGCUCUGGUGGCUGGAUGGAUGGGCGGUGUGUGCUGGCGGCGGCGUGGGGAUGGAUUGGUGCUGGUGGAUGCUGGUAAUGGAGCGGUGGCGCGCCGCCACGCCGGCCUGGCCGCGGCGGCGGCUGGUGGUGGGGAAGGUGGGGUGA